UUGCAUUUCUACAUUUGUACAAUCUGAUUUUUAUGAUGCCCUUAAGUUGUUCGAUGAAAUGCUUCAUUGAAGUGUCUUUGUUCAAUUACUUUGUAGUAAGAUUGGUGUCAAUCCUGGCUCUGAGUUUCGAGUGGCAUGUGAUGAAGCAAACAAGUAUGGUGAUUUUUUUACCUGCGUUUUUAUGUUUCUGUUUUGAGUACCAUGUUUUGUUAUUCUUUUGUGCUUUUUUUUUACUCUAGGUACUGUUCUGUUACUUUUUGUUUGUACUAUCUACUCACUUGUAAGAGUUUGUUUCUAAUAUCCUAGUUGCUAAUUUCUUGUUUUCCUUGGCUGGGUUUUGAGCAUAUUCAGCAGGUGGAAUCGCACAUGACCUCUCUUGUUAUGAUGCAAAGGAGCUGUUUUUCGAGCAGAGUUGUUUUUCGCCUCAUCUGGUUCCCUGUUUUGCUGUUUAUUUUUUUUGCAACCUUAGGAGCUGCUGCAGAACACGUUUUCUAUGUGGCAGAAGAGCACACAUCAAGAAAUCACAAUGCCUUAGAACAUACCUUGUAGCCACUUUAUCAGAUUUUCUAUGUGACACAGUAUAAUGAGUACAUAAACUAUUUUUCAAAGUCUGUAAUAAGCGGUAGCCCUUAACCGAUGAUUAUGAAAUCCCAAAUUUGCACGGGUAUUUGAAAUUCAUUAUACGAAUUUAUAACUUGAAAGGGGGAUAUGAGGGAAGUUAAAAUUUGGUUGGGGAGACAGAUUUGAGGAUGCGUACAGUGGCGCAAAAAUGGUACAUAGGGAAGGAAAAAUUGGGGAUUUUUCAUAAUAAAAAAUUGAGGAUUUUCUGAAGCAGGGUAAUUUUUAGGUAUUUGUUUGAAAUUCAUAAUGAGGAUUUGAGAAUGAGAAUCUAAGUGAAUCAAUUGAAAUCUGUAACGCACUUGAUUUGGGGUGAAUGAAAAAGGAUACAUGGUUGAGAUUCAUGGAAACACUGAGAUACAUAUGAUAAAGGAUUUGAUGUCUCUUUUAAAACGGAAACUUAAUAUACAUGUUACAUUUUUUUUUAAAAUAGUUACAUGGUUGAGAUACUUACAUGUAGAAGCAAGGCAAGAUCCACGGAAAUUUACUAUCAAAAAGAAGAUCCACGGAAAUUUGUGUUGACUUGGAUGUUAAAUUUAAGCAUUAAGGUAGUGUUUGGUCCAAUUUAUUUUUGACUUUUAAGCUCUUAAAAUAUAAGCUACUUAUUUUUUUUUACAAAGAAAAUAUAAAAAAAGUGACUUUUAAGUAAAAAGUUAAACGAGGGAGUUUUUUUUUUAAAUAAACUGUAGAGACAUCACAUUUAUCCUCCACUACCACUACCACUUCUACCAUCAUGUCAACCACAAUCGUCCACUACCACCAUCGUUACCUCCGACACGACCACUACCACCUUCAUGGCCACCACCAUCACAUCCACUGCUACAGUCACCCUCCAUCACUUCUACCAUCACUUCCACCACAUUGUUGCCACUUGCACGACCACCGUCACCACCACCGCCACCACUCCAGUGCCACCACCACCAUCACCUCUACUGCUACCGCCACCCUCCACCACCACAUUGUUGCCAAUUGCACGACCAUUGUAGCAAUCUUUUGUUCCAAUAGAAGCAGAAGUGAUGUCGAUUAUUCAAGAAUCGAAGUCGAUUUGCUUUAUAAAAAGAGGAUAUCAAUGAACUUUUAUGAAAUGGUUUCACGGGAUUCAGCCAAUUUACAUUAUACGCAACAGAAGCACCUGAAGUACUAAACAGAAUAGGUAUUAGUUUGGUAAUGGUUGGAGCAGCAAACUCGGAUUCGGAUCCGCUAAGACUAACGUAUCUACAACUCCAUCCCCGAGCGGCAGUCAAACGGAGGCGUGAAUGCAAGAUGCCAGCAGAAUGAUCGGCCGGACAGAGGCUAGGGCUGCUUCCUUCCCACUGCGUCCUUCCUUGUGUGUUGAAGAUAUAAAGCGAGGAUAGAGUCGAUUACAAAAAGUACUUGGCCACCACUCCAUUGCCACCACCACCAUCACCUUUACUGUUACCGCCACCCUCCACCACCACAAUCGUCCACCACCACAUUGUUGCCACCUGCACGACCACCGCCACCACUCCAUUGCCAUCACCACCGUCAUUGCCUCCACCACCGUCACCUCUACUGCUACCGCCACCCUCCAACACCACCACCACCACCUUCUCUACCAUCACCUCCAUCAUAACCGUUCACCACAACCAUGGUCGCUUCCACAACUACAUCACCACAACCUCAAUUGCCACGACCACCAUCACCUCUAUAAAUUUAUUUAAAUAUGAAUGACACUACUUUAAUUACUUUGGUUAAGGAAUAUUUAUUGGUUUAAAUAACCCUUAGUAUCCAAACAAAGUCUUUCCAAUAUGUCGUGGUGGUAAGUUGUGUUGGCGGUGAUGACGUUGUUGGUUGAGGGUUGUGGAGCCGAUUUUCGGGGUGGAGGGUGGUGGUGGAGGGUAUUGUGGUGAUGACAGUGUUGUAGGAGGUUGUUGUUGCGGUAUUGGUCGUGUUGUAAGGGGAUGGUGGUGGUGGUGGCAGUUGUGGUCGUAUAGUGGUUGUAGAGGGUGGUGGCAGUGUAAGAGUGCGAUAGUGGAGGUGUCGAGGCGGCGUUAGUGGUGAUAGAUUAUAUGGUCAUGCAUAAAACAACAUAUCAAACGAAACCUAAUGUGUUGUCAUUGCUUCCAUUACCACUAUCAGCGUCACUACCUCCCCUACCUUCACCAUUGCCACCACCAUCACCAACAUUGUUACAGUCGUAGUAGUCGCCUUUACCACCUUCACCAACGUAGUCGCCACCUUUACUGUCGCCAGAGCUGUGUAUAGACUUUUUGGGGCUUAAGGUGAAAAUGUUAAAGUGAUUUUCAAUCGACAAUAAUCUUAAAGAAACUUAAUAUAUUAAUCUUCUAUUUAUAGGUACUAAUUGUUUUUUGUUAUGGGGAUCUAAGGCACAUGCCUAAGUGGCCCUUACGGUAUCGACGACUCUGACAGUCGCUAGCGUUGUCAACCACCACUGAUGCCGAUAGUGAUGGAGGUCGUUUCGGGCGUGACUUAGCGGUAGAUGGCAGAGGUGGUGGUGGAAAUUGCAGUGGUGGUGGUGAUGGAAAUCGCACGUUGGUAGAGAAUAAAACAUUAAAGUAAGGUGGUCUAGAACAAACCUUUCACUCGAAACACCCAUCAAAACUAGUUAACCUAUACACAUAAUGACCUGUGGCAGAGCAAGGAGUUUUUUUUUCAGAGGUUGCAAUAAAAUUUCAAUACAUAAAUUAAAUACUUUUUAAUCAAUAAUACACACAUAUGUUCAUAAGAAAAAUCAAAGAUUCAAUUGAUUCAUAUAAUAUGAAUAUUAGAAAUUUAUUAUGAGUUAAGUUAAUAUUUUAAAAAUUUGCUUCUCAAUUUUUUAUUCUCUCCACACAUAUAUACAUACAUAUAUAUAUAUAUACCUUUUUUUUGAAAUAAUAUAUAUAUAUACCUUUUAAUAAAAUAUGUCUUUGUUUUAAUGUAAAACUGUUUAAAAAUAUGUAGAUGAUGAGAUCUCAAAUAAAUAAAACAAAUAUUUAAAGAGGGAUAAAAAUUUGGAAAUUAUACACAUUUGCCCAGCAUGCUAGGUGAAAGAAUAAUAAUGUCAAACUAUUUCUUAAAAUUGCACUGGGUAUGCUUCGAACCCUAUACACGGGAGGCCUUAUAAAAAGGCUCUAUCACCACUAGGACUCCACAAGUUAUAGUCUUUGUUUGCACCGUUUAAAUAUAUUGCUUAUGUUCUAUAUACAAAAGAUUUAUAUUAUAUACAUCAUAUAAAAUAUUUUUUGGUUAAACAUAGCAUUUAAAUUUAUAAAGAUUGUGAAGUUUACCAUUUUACCAAUUUUAAUAAGAUCAUCAAAGUUGCUGCUGAGCAUAAGAAACGGUGGGAAAAGAGUCAAAGACAUAGCACAACAAUGCCAUCCACUUGUUAUAAUUAAUAUAACAUCAACAUAAAAUGAGAAAAUCAAUAUUUUAAAUGUUAGUAUGUGUCAUUUUGGACAUAAUAAAAUGCUACAUUAUUUUUCUAAUUAUUCAGACAUUGCCAUUUAUCUAGGUGUAGAAGUUUUAAAAUUUGGCAAAAUAAUUUGUAAAAUACAGCUACAAUCAAGAGUUCAGCAUUAAGCAUCAAUAUAGCUAGCAGAAAUGCAGAAUCCAGGGUAAAUGUUUGUAUUUGGCAACAUACCCCGUGGAACAGAUCAAACAGAUUACACAAAAGAAUCAGUUAAAAGUAUAGAGUAUCAACUACAUGUUUUUCGGUUGGCUGUGAAUUAUAGACCUUUUCUAUAAAAGUAGUAAUGCUUACCUAAAAAGGCCCAACCGCCCAACUAAAACAAGGGGCUUCAUAGUGUCAUAGAUCCCAAAGUACAUCCCUCGAUACAUGGUGUGAUUCCUAAUAUUGAAACCCCAAAUCCCCUGUACAAGCCAGCAAUUCCGUCAAUUGAUAAGGUUUUACGGUAAACAUCAACUACUCCUUUAAACUGGCGCUGAUCAGUAGCACGGCACUCCUGUGAAUCAGUAGCCAAUCGCGUACGUGCAUAGUCUAAAUGAUACAAAAGCAGUGAAGUAGUCGCUCCUGCAGCACUGCCUGAAGCCACAUUCCCAGCAAACCAUUUAAUUUGCCCGUCUUUCUUUUUGGACUAUCCAAAGAUGCUUUUGAAGUAACCUUUGAAUGCAAAAUUGAAAGCCUAUAGACCAAUUAACUCUUUGCUCAAACACUAUUUCUAAUACAUAAAAGAAAAUCAUUAUUUGAGAGCCAUGAUCACAUGAGUUGAUGGGAAUAGAAAGCAGUCAAAUUAAUGGUUUCUCUUCUAUAUGUAUGGGCCCCUAUUUUAUAUAAGCGCAGAUGCCCAACUAAUGAUAUUUCACAUGUGAUGACAGGAAAAACACAAAGCAUGUUCAGGGGGAAUAAUGUACAAAACUACAAAUUGGACAUGAUCACAUAUCAAAGAAUGUGAUUAUUUGUCAGGUACAUAUUAUAUCAUGCCAUAAAAUAACUAUGUAUAAGAAAAUGCGAUUAGUCUAGGCUCUGAGAUAAUAUACUUUUCAAUUUAAUAGUGAAUUAGGCAGACAAAAGGCUAGGAUGGAAGAGAAGUUAUCAAAUAUUCGUCUUACUUUAAUAUCUAAAAUCCAUGGAUGACAACAAAUAUAAAACCCAUGAACACAAGAAUUUACGGCUAUUAUGUGAUGUGAAUUUUUAUUUUUUAGUGAGCUGCACAAGAAAUAAUUACCUGAUACAUUUAAUGGUAUAUAACUACAUAUCAGCAUCCCACAUAACAUGUCAUGUUCAUUCUUUUGAUUUCUUUUCUUUUCUUCAAAGAUAAUGUGUAUGAUAUCUUGAAAGAAAGAGGAGAUUAAAAUGGUGUAUGUGGGGAUACAGUUCUUGAACAUUAAUCAGAAUGUCAGUAAAGUGAAUAACUCACCUGUGUGGGGAAAUACCUUAUAUCAUUGGCCCGGUUACCUCUCCAAAAAAGCAAUCAGACCCUCUUCCAGGAAAACCCUUUUAAAGCCAUUUGACACACCCAGGUAUGGUUUUUUGAGUCGUCCUCUUUUAAUCAAUUCAUUUUGGUUUUGCAAUAAAAGCUUGGCUCUCUCAAUUGGUGCCACUGCACUCUUUGAUAUGAUUGCUGCAACUCCUCCCAUGACAAAAUCCUUUGAAAAUCUUUCAUAUUGCGUAGAUGUUACCAUCUUUUUUGGACUCUUGUCUCUAAUCCUGGCAGAAGUAAUAGAAACUUGAUCAGCAAAAAAAAAGGGCAUGAAUACCUAUGAGAUGAAAUUACAAAUAGAUAAAAGUGACACUGGCGUUAAGCGAAAAAAGCAGGUCAACCUCUCAGACUCCUUUCAAACGAGAAAAAAGUGCAGGAAAGAAAAGAAAAACAGUGAAACUUGAAGAUCUCUAAGAAUGUGGUAGCAGAUUCAGUUCGGUUCAUAGCAAACAAAUUGCUAAAAAGGAGUGGCCACCUCAAGCAAACAUAAUGAUGUUGAAGUGAAAUUCCGAUGCAGCAGACACAACAACACAUACAACAGCAGUACCAUAAUCAAUCCAAAUCAGUAAUUCAAAAGGUAAAAGAAAAAUUGAAAGAUGGAUAGUGAACCCCUUCAUAGGUGAGAGGAAAACCAAGAGAAUUUGACAGCUUUGUGAAGAACCAUGACAUGGGAACAACCUUCCAAGGCCAGCCAACAAAUGAAACACUUCAAUGGCAUCUUGACAAUCUUCGAUGUCACAGAGGACACCAACUAGUUCAGCAUGAAAAAAGCAUGAUAUGUAAUCAUUCAAAACUCAGAGCCAGGAUUGACACCAAUCUUACUACAAAGUAAUUGAACAAAGACACUUCAAUGAAGCAUUUCAUCGAACAACUUAAGGGCAUCAUAAAAAUCAGAUUGUACAAAUGUAGAAAUGCAACACCACAAUUGUAGAAAAGAAACUAGACUCAGAUUAAAGUCUUAAAAUUCCAUGGAAACAAUCAACCACUGAAAUAAAAACAGUAUAGAAAAAUUGAACUUGUAAACUGUGUAAACAACUGAAUUGAAGAAAAACAAACCAAUUCAAGAAGGACGUAAGAAGAAGAGGCAAACAGCUUUGGCAUGCUGGUUGGAGAAGCGUCCACCACCGCACCACGUCGAUCUAGGUUGCGGUUGCCGCCGGCGAAGGGAAGAGCAUUUUUUUUUUCUUUUGAAACUAAAGGAAGAACGUGAAAGAGGAUUGUGGGUAUAUUUUUUAAUUUUAUAAAAAAGGAGGAGCACUAAGCUAUUAACUAAAUUAGCAGGGGUUGUUCUAGAAUUAAAUUAAAUAAUAAAAUAUAUAUUACGAAAAUAAAAUAUUAAAAGUGAUGUGGAUAAUAACGUGACACAUGUCACAAUAUAACUGGUACAACAAGGCCAUGGGUGAUAUAACCCAAAAUUGAGCAUGAGUUAUUUAGACAACCCAUUUGAAUAUCAUUUGCAUAUUGAUUGAGAACAAUUGAUUUGAGAUUAAUUAAUGAUACAUCAUGACAUACAUGAAAUCUAAAAAAUAUAACAAAUAUACUAAUAUAACAAAUUUACUAGACUUGAGACUUAAAGCAUCCUUCUUCAUGCUAUUGAUUGUCUUCAUCAAAAUCCUUUUUUCUUGGGCUAGAAAUACUUCUUCUUGCACCUCCUAUGAAAUUUCUACUACAUGACAUAUUCAAGGGAAUGGGUGGAUCUGAAAAAGCUCCCGUAGAUAUUAGAUCAAAUACAACUUUGUUAGCUGCCUCAGUGUAGUGGUACCCAUCCCAUAUCACUCUAGUGGAUGGUUUUUCACAAGAGCCCACAAAAAUUUUAUCACCAUCUACGGUUAUAGUUCCCCCGCAUACAACUCCAUCUAUAUAAUUGUAUUUUCCUCCAUAGCCACAACAAGUAACUAGUGGGUGCUCAAAUCCUGCACAUUAAUGAAUCUUUAAAUUAGUAACAUUCCUUUUAGGUAAGCUUGAUUAUUUCAAUGAGAAUUGAGGUCAAUUUGCUUUGGCUCACCAUAUUUCUUUGGAUUGCAAAAUAGAGAGUACUUAGCUGAGUAGAUAUCUACAUAUGCCAUUGAAACCAAAAGGUCCUCAUGAAGUUUAGCUAAUGCUUCCUUCAAUUCUUUGUUGAAAUAUUGUGCUACUUCAUUAUAUUGCUUUGCACAACCAGAACUAUCUCUUUCGGCAGAUGGAAAUUUAGUCAAUAUGCCAGGGAGGCACCCGAUUGGUCCUGUGUUGUGUAUCCAAAACGAUCUAGCCCCCAAAUCAUAUAUGUUCUUGAUCACCAAGUUUCAUUCAUUUAAAACAAGAAAUUAAGAAAUUGAGAACUAAUAUGAAAGUGGCGUUCCAUGAAAGAACUAAUUUGAUUAUUGACUCACGACUAUAUCAAAAGAGUGUUUAGCUACCUUAAUAUUCGCUACGAAAUUGUCGACCAUAUCAUGUAUAGAAUCACUGACUUGUUGUAUAGUCGUGUUACCAGAAAAGGCAUCAAUAAGAUCAUUUUGACCAAUAUCAAAUGUGUAUAAAGCUCUAGAAAAAUACUCUUCUUUGGGCAUCAACGUUGAAAACAUGCCACCUAACCGACAAACAUUUGAAGAAAAACAUGCAAAACACAUUGUUGUUAAUUGAACUCAAAAUAACCAAAUUAUAUCAAUGAAAAUAAUUUCUAGACUGACCUUGAUCUUUUAUGAAUUGUGAUCUUGCUUUAAACUCUUUGAAUUGAAGGUACUGAACUCCUAAGAAGAAAGGACUACCUCGAGGUUUAACACUCUUAGGGAGUAUAAUUGUUGAUCCUAAUGUUGCAAAGUUUGCACCAUGAGAGAAGUUUGAUCCCAGAGAGUCAAGAUACGCACUAAGAUAUGUAAGUCCAAAACUUUGUGCUGAAAUUACAAAGAUGUGAAUGAAAAUUAAACUUAAAACCUUUCACUUUACAAUGAUGAAUGAUCUAAAUGAUUAUUAAAUUUCGACAUGUUAGUAAGUGAUUGAAGGAUAAUUUUAUUUUUUCCCGAACCACUGUUGAAAUUGCAAAGUAAUGAAUCAAAGUUAGACUUAAUAUUUAAAGGUGUUAUUUAUAUAUAAAGAUUCAAGUAAAAAGUGUGUGACCGAGAUAUGCUUGGCUCAGUUAUUAAAGACAAAUCACUUCACCUCAAAAAAAUUGUGUGUUUGAUUGUGUGUUUAAUGAACAAUCUGCAAGUGACAUAUAAUCCUGGAGGCAUAUCAUGAACUAUAGUAGUCACUAUAACCAAACCGACCAAAACGUUUGCUCUUCAUUGAAAAGAGUAAAAUAUGUGUGUAAUUCCUAAUAGUUUUGUAAUAAAUACUAUUUUUCCAUAUAUGCAUCUAGAAUCAUGCUUUUUAUACUUAAGGUAAGUAAAACAUUCCCACAAGAAAUAGAACUACGUUACCUAUGAAAUCAAUGAUGAUUCGGCCAUCAGAGUACCUUCCAGCGGGUCUGUGAAAAUAAGUGUCUCCAUGUGGUGGUUUUGGUCCUUCAAAGGCAGCAGCGUAGCCUCCAGUAUCUGAGUUUGAGGCACCAAAAUUGAAGAUGGCUGGAAAAUCACAACCGCCGCCAUAUACAGGGUUCAGUAGUGUAGUUGACGUAGCAGUGAAAACAAAAACAAAAAGAGAUAUUUGAGUGAUGAAAAACUCCAUUACAGAGAUGAGUUCAUUCAGCAAAACACAAAGGAACCAUAAAAUUGAUAUAUAUGCUUGACACAUAUAGAAGCUCACUUUUCUGAACUUGAAUUAUUGGACACUAAAUCAAUAAUAGAAUAACAAGAGUGACUUUAUAAAAAGUACAAGUAAUCCCCCACAAGGUAAGGCGUAUCAUUUAAUUUUGUAGAUCCUUUAAUAUAAUAUUUCACGUGUGUCAUGUGUAGAACAUUGUUAAUUGGUAAUUGGUAUAGUGCUCUUGAAAUAGUUAGGAUUUAUUUUUUGGACAGAGAAGAGUAGACUUUCAAACAGAAUUUUUGCGAGUUCUCCUUAAUUAUUGUGAAAUAUAAUGGAAUGUCCAAUUUAAUUUUUUUUAGAUAAGCAAUGAUUUUAUUACGCACAAGGGGUGCCACCAAAAAACAAGUCAAAACAGAUCAUUGAAUUUAAUUGAGUGAGGAGAUCAAGAUCUUUGCUGCGAUAAGAAAGAAAGGGCCGGAAAGCUACUUCGAAUAUUGAAUUAUUGAUGUGCGUUAACAUAGCAUAAAUUGUACUUUGUUUUUAUUAUGGUUUUAUCUAGGCCUAAUUGUUGUAUUUGCUAUACAAAAUUCACAUGUUUUUAAGUGUAUUCGCAAUAUGUAGGUAGAAAGAGGGGAAAAAGAGAAAAUAGUGAAAAGUUGCUCUUUUAGUGGAAUUUUACAUGCUAACGUAGAGGCAUGAUCGUGCUUGCCAAAUACUACAACCAUGCUCUUGAAAAUGAAGCUCCACAACCAUGCACUCCUCUUUUUGCCCAUGCUAAGUAUUAAAGUUAGCUUGCUAAGUUGCACAACAGAAGCCUCGUGAAAACCUAAUUAUUUCCUACUUAAAGAGAGGCUAGGGCAUUUGUAAGAUGGUGGAACUUUAGAGUAUUGUUUUGUAUGCAGGCUAGGAGGGAGGGAGGGAGGGAGAGAGAGAGAGAGAGAGAGACUUAAUGACGCAAGGCUAUGAAACUCCACCUACUAACAUUUUUGCCGGUAUGAGAGGAAGGGAAAGUACACUUCCCAAGGACAGGGUUGGUCAAACAGGUGCUAUUAGUGGCGUUAGGUUUUCAGGCGUCACUCUGACAAUAUUUAUUUGAUUCGACGUCAGUUGCAUGCUUACGCAUGGAUGCUCAUACCCAACCACUUCAGAGAGAGAGAGAGAGAGAGAGACUUAAUGGCGCAAGGCUAUGAGACUCCACCUACUAACAUUUUUGCCGGUCUGAGAGGAAGGGAAAAUACCCUCCCCAAGUAUAGGGUUGGUCAAACAGGCGUGCAUUAGUGGCGUUAGGUUUUCAGGCGUCACUCCGACACAUUUUUAUUUGAUUCCGACGUAAGUUUGCAUGGCUUACGGCAUGAGAUGCUCAUCCCCCAACUACUUCAGAAGAGAGAGACUUAAUGGCGCAAGGCUAUGAGACUCCAUCUACUAACAUUUUUGUCCGGUCUGAGAGGAAGUGAAAAUACACUUCCCAAGGAUAGGGUUGGUCAAAUAGGUGUCAUUAGUGGCGUUAGGUUUUCAGGCGUCACUCCGACAAUAUUUAUUUGAUUCGACGUAAGAUGCAUGCUUACGCAUGGAUGCUCAUCCCCAACCACUUCACAGAGAGAGACUUAAUGGCGCAAGCUAUGAGAUUCCACCUACUAACAUUUUUGCCGGUCUGAGAGGAAAGGAAAAUACACUUCCCAAGGACAAGGUUGAUCAAACAGGUGUCAUUAGUGGCGUUAGGUUUUCAGGCGUCACUCCGACAAUAUUUAUUUGAUUCGACGUAAGCUCCAUGCUUACGCAUGGAUGCUCAUCCUCAACCACUUCAGAGAGAGAAAGAGACUUAAUGGCGCAAGGCUAUGGGACUCCACCUACUAACAUUUUUCCCGGUCUGAGAGGAAAGGAAAAUACACUUCCCAGGGACAAGGUUGGUCAAACAGGUGCCAUUAGUGGCGUUAGGUUUUCAGGUGUCACUCCGACCAUAUUUAUUUGAUUCGACGUAAGCUGCAUGCUUACGCAUGGAUGCUCAUCCCCAACCACUUCAGAAAGAGAGAGAAAAAAAAAACGUGACUGGCUCGAAGGAAAAUAAGGGAGAGUAAACUUAGAAGAUUAUUUCAGGUUUAUGUAUGGUAUUAUUAGGUUCAUUAUGUUUUCUAUUAGAAUUAGUUAUUCCAUCACCUUGAAAUCUGUAAGAUAAUAAGAUAAUGUAAAUUUUCUCACUUGAAUCAACACAUCUUCUGCUAUCUCUUUUGAGUGAACGAUUGACUUGUCAGUAAGCUCAAGUGAAAUGUUAAUGGCUCUUAACCUAACUAUUCUUAAUCUCUAUAAAACCGAUCGAAUAAGGCAUUAAAUCCACACUUGACCCCAAAUCAAUGAAACACUUUCAGAGUAUAUAUUUCCCACAUUUCAAGGAUUGGUGAAUUGACUGAAUUCCCCUGAAUCUUUAAGCUUAGAUGGUAAUCUAGUUGAUCUUUAUUGGGUUCUCCAUUUUGAUUUUCUUCAAUAGCUUUAGUAUUAUGUUGUAUUCAGCAUUAUACUCAUUAUCAUGAAUAAGAAUACUUAUAGUAGCCAAUGCAGAUUGGCCUUUACCUUCUUCUUCAAGCUCUUGGGAACUCCCUUUAGUGCGAAUUCCUACGAUCAAUACAGAGGCAAAACUUGAUUGUGCUUCUUCAGCUUUAAGUGCAUCCUCUUUUGUAAGUCCAACAAGUGUGAUAGUCUUAGCUUCCUCCCUUGAGUUGGGCUCUGUUUGUGAAGGAAGUGUGUCUUGUGUCCUUGGAGUUGGGCUCUGUUUGCGAAGGAAGUGUGUCUUCUAUGUAGUGAUGCAUCCUUCCGGCAAGGAGGACAAUCAAGCCGACACCUUAUCCGUAAGGGAGAGAAUGGAAACAACCUCAAACGAAUAGUGUCAGUAGGAACAUGGUUGUACUUAAUGUACCUAUGAUUUUGAUCCCAAUAUAUCUUUAUUAAAUUUAAUCCCUCAAAAUUUUCAAUAAUUAUAAUUAAAUCCAUCGACUAGUUUUAUACCUAAAUAUCUCAAAUUCUCAUUUUUCUUUGCGAAUCUUUACUAAUAAGUAAGUUUAAAUCACUUUAAACAUUCAUUCGAUAAAAACACAUCAGUACAACAGUACUGAUAUAUCCAUAGAGUUAAUUCACUCUGAUUUUAAGUUAAUCAAAUUUAUUUAAGUGAAAAGUAUAGAGUGAAUUAGUAUUGAGCUUGGCGCGCGGUCAAAGGGAUUUUACCCCUGCGGAAGCUUCUUCAUGCGCGGGGUGUUGAUGUUGAGGAGGUGUGUCCACUUUGCCAUGAUGAGGAGGAGUCUAUCAACCACAUUUUGGUCUCAUGCCCGGUGGUGAGUCGUUGGUGGUUCGCUCUCAUGGGUUCUUUACGUGUUGAGGCGUAUGGCUCGGUGCAAGGUAUUUUGCAGUAUUGUUUUGAUAUUAAUGAUGUAGAUAUGGCUUCAAGGUGUGUGAAUUUUGUGUGGGCUAUAUGGGAAGCUCGCAACAGGUUGGUGUUUCAAGGCAUUACGUCUUCGUUGGACGUCUUGGCUUCUCGGUUGCAGAUGAUUCAUGCGCCCCCUAGCGUCUCCAUUUCUCCUCCAGGACGUGACUUUGCAGCAGUGUGGAAAAGGCCUCAACCGAACGUGACCAAGCUCAAUUUUGAUGGCUCUUGGAAGACUAAUCGUGCGGCGGACUUCGGUUGUGUAGCGCGGAACCACCACGGUGAGGUUAUGGCGGCAGCAACGGUCUCUCCGGUGGAUGCUUCAUCUCCAUUGAUGGCUGAAGUUCUUGCUUUUAGAUGGUGUCUCUCUCUUGCAGCUGAUCUUUUCUUCCAUGAUAUAGAGGUGGAAACAGAUUGUCUCAAACUCUAUGAAGCUUGGAACAAGCAUUUGCAGGGAGCUUCUUAUUUUAUUUCUAUUCUUAAAGAUUGUAAGGAUUUGGUUUUAUAUUUUUCUAGUUUUCGUUUGUCUUUUGUCGUCGAUCCGGUAACUCUGUAGCUGAUUACUUUGCUAAGAACUCCUCAAGGUAUCCCAACUGCGUUUGGAUUGAGAAGGUUCCCCCAGAUUGUUUCGGUUUGGUCGCGUCUGAUGUAACUACCUCUAUGACCUCUUGAUUUUAAUAUAUGUUCUACGUUAAAAAAAAAGUUAGCAAAAAUCAUAUAGUCUUAAUUAAUAAACAUUUUCUAUGUUUUGAUUCUAUUAUCUAUAGCAGGGCCCUUACAUAUUUGUUAUGAUCAAAUGAGAAAGUCGCAUUUAUUCCACACUAGUAUAUGAGGAGGUGAUUCAUUUUUUAUAGAUAACCGACACACCAUUACUCUUGUUUACCUAGGUCCUAACCAAAGCACAUGCAGUCGCAUGAUAAGUCCAAAAACACUAAUCAUUCUAUAGCUUAUAUAAAAUGAGUUGUAUUUAUCCUCCACUUUAUUCAGAGAAUGAGUUCACAUGAUAAAAAUAGAAUCAUAUUAUGUGCCCCCAAUUACAUUCUCUUUUUGUUCCUCUAAUCCUCUGAGUAUUAAAUCUGUCACGCACCCUUUGGAUCCUCAGUAAACUAUCUCACGGUCCAACUGACCCCAUAUUUCUGGUUCAUGAUAUUCUAAUAUCAAUGAAAUUUUCAUGUGAAUUUGUUACCAUUUUCAAAUUUUAUUUAUUUGUCACUUGUAUAAAGUAUUAAUUAAAUUUUAUUGAUAAUAACGGGAUAUAAUUCUUAAUGAUAAUAGGAAAAUUGAGUAGUCAAAAUCUAAAAAAAUAAAGAUAUAUCAAUAAGUCAAAUAGCAAUAUUAAUAAAAAUGUAAAAAAAAAUUAUUAAUACAAAUGAGAAUAUUAUCACCGUUAAUUUUUUAUUUCAUCUUAUUUAUUCUUUUUUUUUCUUAUCACAACAUCCAUCACAUAUUAUAUGAUUUCUCUAAAAUUUUUCCUUGUUUGAAUGAAGGGAAAACUCGGGGCCCCACAUAAAUUAAUCUCUUGUUCUUGGUUCGAACACUCAAAGAAGGGGUAGCCCCUAAAGAGUAGAGAUAUUGCACUAGAAAGAUAGAAGAUAACUGAAUUUCAUAUGUAUGAAUUGAUCAAAUGCGUCAAAAGUCUUUUACAAUUGGUAAGUGUCCUCUACUUAUAGGGUGGGAAGUGAGCUUCCCGCGCUACUGCCUCUAAUGGGCCUAUUGGGCCUCGCCUUGGCCAGCGAGACCCAACUACGGAUUGUGCGCCCGCCCCUUAGCGAGAGUCCCUCUGGGCGUAGCCCCUUACUCCCAGUCCAUCUCUCCUCUCCAUUAUCCUUGCGAACCAAACACGAAAGAUUCUAUAAUCCUUUCCUUUUCUCUUCCUUCCUUUAUCUUCCCCCAAAACAAACAUAAUGCAAGUCUCAGUGAAUUUUGGGUGAUUAAAGACAAAAAGACAUUAUUUCCCCUAAACAAACAUGGUACUAUAACCAAACAAUAGAUAGUGGGUCAUAUUCCAGAAAUUGAAUGAGUUGAAACGCAUGUGUGUAUAGAUGCAUUUGUCAGACACUGACAGCUCUUUGCGUAUCCAUCAUGCAUGAGAACCUCAAACCUGCCGUCAAUUACAACCUUCACCCAUUUUUCUGUGAUCCUUGCUUUUCUUCAGCUCUAUCCAACCUCACAGACAAUGACACCACCCCUUUAAUAUUCAUCCUAAUUUCUACUAUAUAUUAUUAUUCAAUAUUAUUAUUGUCUGCAAACCUAUAUAUUAUUAUUCAAUAUUCAUGACCCUUUUCUGAAAUUUGCAUAAAAAAUGUCCAUGAUUGUUGAUUUCUCCUAAAGUUAAGAUUUUGAUGUUGGAUUCUUCGCUGUGCCACUACCAAACCAGAUAAUCACAAAGGGUAUAGUUCUAUGAUUGGAAAAAAUCAAAAAAAUACAAACUAUUUUUUUUAUUUUGUUGUUUUUGUUAUGCAUUUAAAUUUUGCUAAUUUUGAUUAAUUCUUUCUAAAAAUUGAAUCUUUUUGUCAUUUUAGGAUUGCCCAUGAUUUAGAAUUGCUUGUUAAGAGAAAAAAUCAAAUUGGGUACGAACAAAAUUUCUUGUGUGGAAUUUUGGUGAGUGAUGCAGAGUGAAGAAGGUGGUUGUGGAAAUGGCGAAUCUGGUUCCUGGUGUGCUUCUGAAGCUGUUACAGCACAUGAAUACAGAUGUGAAGGUUGGAGGGGAGCAUAGAUCAUCACUGUUGCAAGUUGUGAGCAUUGUUCCUGCGCUUGCAGGUGGAGAAUUGUUUCCGAAUCAAGGGUUUUAUCUGAAGGUUUCAGAUUCGUCUCAUGCUACGUAUGUUUCUCUGCCUGAUGAAGAUGAUGAUCUUAUUUUGAGUGAUAAGAUUCAGCUGGGGCAGUUUGUGUUUGUGGAUCGCGUCGAGGCGGCUUCGCCGGUUCCGAUUUUGAGAGGGGUUAGGCCUGUUCCGGGGAGGCAUCCUUGUGUAGGAACACCUGAAGAUAUUGUUGCCACUCAUCCACUUGCAUUUCUGAAUAAUGGCGGUGGUUCUUCUGGGGAGAAGGCGAAGGAGAAGGAGAAGGAGAGGAGCGCGAGAUCAAAUGGGGUUGGUAGUGGUGGUGGUGGUGGUGGUGGUAUGGGAGAAGGAUCAGAGAAGAAGAGUGGUCUUCUUGGUAGGUUUAAAUCACAGGCUCAGCCAACAAAGCCAGCAGCACUGAAGAUUGAUGUGAAGAAGGAACCGUUGCCUCGGAUGAAGUCUAUGAAUUCAAGGUCGAUUCCUUCGUCGCCGAGUAGUUGCUACUCGUUGCCGACUUCUUUUGAGAAAUUUGCCAAUGGGGUGAAGCAGCAGCAGGCAAAGGUUAGUGGUAAGAGGGUGGAGAAGGUCACUGCAAAUGUGGGAGUGGUGGAGACAGGAAAAGGUGGUUCUUCUGGGAAGAAAAUGGUGGUGGGGAAUCCAAUCAGAAAUUGGAUGCAGGGUAUUGACCUUGGGGCUAAGGUUCUGCGGAAGAGCUGGGAAGGGAAUAUGGAGGUCAAGACUAGAGAGUCUCCCAGAGCUAGGGGUGCUGCCAAGGUUGAUCCUAAGCCUGAAGUUCGUAGCUCGGUGAGUGUGAUAUAAUUUCAUCUUCAUUCUUUUGGUUUUAGUGCAUGUUUGGAGAUCUUUUUUACAUUUGAUUUUAGAGCCAUAAUCAAUUAUAGGGACAAGCUUAUGUGAGUAAUUUCUGGAGACAUGAAGUGAUUUUGAUAAAAGAGAACCUGAUUCAAACAUGUUAUUAGUUGCAGCUCCUGAUGUCAAACACUAAGCCUUGUAGGAUAUAUUGCAUCUUUGUUUUGUUCUUUUUUUCUGUCCCUUUCAAAUUUCAUGUGGAAUAUGUGCUAUGUAGUAUAGUUGGUGUUUGUGAUACCUGGAUUUCAUUUCCUUUGACUUUUGAUUCAAUCAAGCCAUUAUCUUCCUUACGUUUUAUGAUCUACCAGACUCCUAGGAGAAGCUUCUCGAAUGGGAAGUUGCCAUCUAAAGAAGUCCAAGCACCAACAAAGUCUUCCAAGGACGAACAUAAGACUCAGAUGUCUAUAAAGAAGGCUACUGCUAAUGGAACUUUGGAGGAACAAGAAAAGUCAAGUAAACAAAGAACUUCCAUUGGAAAGAAAUCAGCAGAAGUUGCUAACCACGGACUCCCCGGAAACUUGGUCAAAGUUUCUCUCAAUAGUAGAAAAGUGACAGAUGCAAGUGUUCAAUGGGCUUCACUCCCCUCAUCUAUUUCAAAGAUUGGAAGGGUAUAUUCAUUGAAAAAUCCUUGGCUUUUUACACUUAAUUUCUUUGAUUCUUGGCUGUCAAUUGUCUAAGCAUUCAUGAAUACAAAUAUAAUAAGUAUGCUGCAAGUAUAAUAGUUUUGGAUAUAUGCAUGGAUUACACUUUGAUGAACAUUCUGUGUCCUUGUUCGAGUACAAGCCCUUCAACCAAUUGAUGCAUUGUUCAGAAAAUUAUAUAUGGCUUACUGAAUCUUUCUGUUCAAAUUAUAAAUUUUGUAACUGUAUUGUUUCAUUCUUAUUCCAUGGUCACCUUUGUGACAGGAAGUUAUGAGGCACAGAGAUGCGGCACAGAUAGCAGCAAAUGAGGCUAUGCAAGAGGCUGCCGCCGCUGAGAGUUUGCUGCAAUGUCUAAGGUAUGAAAAUAUUCAGGAGAUUAACUUCAUGCAACUAAGUAUAGAUUAUUCUUCUGGACUGCUCGAUUUGUUAGAUCAGGUCUUAGUUCUUAGUGUUACUCCACACUGCCGAGAUUAACUGUGUAUACAUGAAAACCUAGAUAUAUUGCUGAUAGUUGUACUUCUGAGUGAGUUCUCCAUCUACUGAAGCACAACACUUCUAGAGGAUAGGGAAAACAUUUCUAUACUCGGUUCAGUUAAGAUGUAAAUCAAUAAAUCAUUCUCAAUCAAAAAAAUAUUCUUGCUACUUUACUAUUAUCUAUCACUUUUACGAUAUUCUAUGUAAUCAUCAGAUGAUACAGAUAAGAAUGUAGAAACUGAGGCAUUUGCAGGAAUCCUGAACUUCAUUACUUAUUAGCAAUGUUAUAUACAGGUUUUCUUCACCAUUUUGUCCUAUUUGAAGCUAUUUUCCCUAUUUCAUUACCGGUCAUGUAUUUAUUAGUAAUAGUCUGUUUUAUCAUUCCUUGGGUAUCUCUUGUCAACAGUUGGAUAGAUUGUCAUUAUAAAUUCCUGCCCCUGUAUUUCUGAUGUUUUUUUUAUACUCAUACCUGAUGAAAGUUAUAUUUGCAUUUUCAUUUAUGUGCUUGGAACUGAUAUAGCAUCUUGCAAAUCCACUGGCCAUACUCAUUGUUCUUGAGUACAUGUAGUUCAUCCAAACUAAGUAGGCUUGGAACGGCACCUGCAUGACAAAUCCUGGAUCUUUGUACUUAUUUUGAUUAAAAUAUUUCCUCCAUUGUUCUUUGUGUUGAGAUUUAAGAAGUCGACUGAAGUCCUAGGGCUACGUUGACUAGAGAUAUGGCCAAAUAAGUCAUUGUAUAGAGCAAUCCUCACCCAUGAACUAGCUUUAGGGAUAGAGUUAAGCCUAACCUGAAUUAUAUGAUGGUGUCAUAGCUUAUCUUAGAUUCGUUUGUUGGAGACUACCCAUAAUUUCACAAUACUACUGAAAAUCAUUGUAGCUUAUGCCAUGGUAAGAUGCUGAUUGUACAGCAGAAUUUUGAAUUUCCGGUUUAACCGUCAAUGCAGUUAACCCAUUUCAAUAGACUAUUCUAUUAUGUGGAAAUGUUGUAAUUCAAUGCCACAUACCAAGUUGUACUUGUUGCUAACACUUUUUUGUGAUGUUUCUGGCAGUAAGUAUUCGGAGUUAACAAAUUCUGCGAAGGAAGAGAACCCCCAGCCAGCAGUAGAGCAGUUUUUAACUCUUCAUGCUAGCCUAAACAGUACCCUGAUGAUUGCUGAAUCAUUAUCUAAACCCAUUCCAGAUGGUUCAUCUCCAGAUUAUGAAAGGAGCAAAUUGGAAGAAGCACUGAAACUAAAAUCAGAAAGACAAAAACACGCAUCUUCAUGGGUCCAAGCAGCAUUGGCCACGAAUCUUUCAUCCUUCGCUGUUUUCACAAGAGAACCUCAAUCAUCCAAGCUUCCAGCUUCAAGUAAUUCUCAAAAUCAGAAGACUCUCAUGGGAAAUCAGCCCAUGUUAGUACUACACAAUUCUUCAAGUGAAGAUUCUUCAUCAAAAGUUCCUGGGAAAACUCGUCAACCACUUUAUUCCAAGCACGCCUCACAAGGAGCUACUCGCAAACCUGGUGAUGGGUCAGCAAACAGGCACAAGCAGCUAGUCCAACCACCGCUCCCGGAGUGGGUUAGGGGAAAUGGCCUCGAUGAGGUGGUUAAUUUGGCUGAAAUGUUGCAAUUACAGUCCCGAGACUGGUUCGUAGGAUUCGUUGAGAGGUUCUUGGACAUUGACGGGGACAAUACCUUGUCAGAUAAUGGCCAAAUUGCAGGUAUGCUCUCUCAGCUGAAGAGUGUAAAUGAUUGGUUAGAUGAGAUAGGGUCGAGCAGGGACGAGGAAGACGAGGGAGAAUCAUGCCAGAUUCCAGCAGAGACGAUUGACCGACUAAGGAAGAAGAUAUACGAAUAUCUUCUUACUCAUGUUGAGUCUGCUGCUGCUGCACUCAGUGGUGGACCACAAUCAUCAUCAACUCCGAUCCAAACAACACAGAUUAAAGGCAAAAGGUGAAUGAAUGAGUACAUAGCUUAGCUUAACAAUUGCAUAAGUAGGGUAGAGUGGGACUAACCUUGGUCACUCAAAGUUGUCCAAAAAUCAAGAUCCCCUCAAAAAGAUCAUUUUUUCCCUCUUUCUAAUCUGUUUGUACAUAAAUCCUACAUGGGGUUUGAGGUAUAGAUGGUGGAGUGCUAAUUAUUUAUUAGAGGGACAAUGGAGAUAGCAAAUGUGAUUUGUGAAGAUAUUUUCUUUCUUUGAUUUUUCUUGAUAUUGUUCAAAUGAAAUCAUACAAAUUAAAACAGUGGAAGAUAUCAGUAGAAACUUUUCCAAUCCUUGCCUUGAAUGUGGUUCUUUUAUGGCAUCAUUGUUCUUGUGAGUAUCAAUCGCAAACAGUAUCUAACUGGUGGGGUGCAUUAGGACAAUUGACAAAUGAACUACUUAAAUCUGAAUAGGAAUAGUUUCUACUGUGUUUCUCAAAUCAUGUGUGCAGUAUUUUAUAUGUAAAGUUGAGGAAAUAAAUCCUAAGCCAAAUCUUAAAUCAAUUCAACAUCUCAUCUUGCAUUUUUGUGGUUAUUUCACUUGAUAUCAAAGCUUAGACUCUUUUGAAAAGAAAAAAAAAAGCUUAGACUCUGGAUUAAGCACCUUGACGAGUACCAAAGAGUAUAUCCAUAAAAAUAUGGUUGAAGCUUAGCUCAAGAAACUCCAACAACAUCUAUCUAUCUUGUUGAAGGUCACUUAGUGAUACGUCCUUGAACCUUCAAUGAAGAAUUUUAAUAGACAAGAUGAUGCUCUUUAUUGAGUCCACACACGUUGAUAUAUGUUACAUCAUAUAGUCUACGAUUUGUGUGCAUAUUGAAUUAUUGAUGAUAGCAAUAAUCCUAAUAUGAUAUGAUAGAAAAAAUAAAUUGCGAUAAAAAAGAAGAAAAAAAAGUAUAGUGUGAAUAUAUUAAAACUCAUACCACUUGUAAGUGAAAUCAAAGAAAUUAAGAGGUAGGUGGUGCAAGAUGUUUGCCUCUUGCCAGAUACUCAAAGACAACAAUCACACAUCAUCAUUGUCACCCACCAUACAGAUGAUCUCCCUUUCACACUGACAACCUAACUUGGCCAACUCCACUUAAAAUAUCAACUGAUAUAAAAUCUGAAUCAAAAUUAUUACGUAGGCUCACAAAAAUUUAGCUUAUUCCUUAUAUAUAUAUAGUUGAAGUGGUAAGGGUUGUGAACAUAUAGAUCGAGAGAAAGGUUCAUGGAUCAAUCAUUGAAAAAGUAAUUUAUCUUUCUGAUGUACAAAAUAUAAAAAUUAUGCUCAUUAUAUCUUUCACUAAUAAGUUUGUUUCAAAAAAAUUGUGCGAUUUUGAUCUCACUAUUUUAAAACGAGCAGUUUGCAUCCUCAAAUUUGUAUCACCAUCAAUUUUAGACCAUCCAUAUAAUUUCUAACAGAAGCAAGUGACAUAGCGUUAACUAAAUAAGGUGGCAUGCAUAAUGUAUUUCCAAGUAAUUAUAUAAACGAAAAAUCCUGUUUUGAAAUAGUGGUUAAGUGGGGUUUACCGGACAAGUUGGGACGAGCUGUACUCGUCUUUCACUAACCCUAAAUAUUGAUCGAAUCCAAUUAUUAAACAUUUGAACUUAACCACUUAAACAAACGAAAUCCAAUGAAGUGCGAGUUUGAUGAACUUAGAACGAUGAUAUGAUUAUCCGAAGAAAACAAAAAUGAUAUGAUUUGAAACAAGUUGUCCACGUGGAAUCAUUAAUACAUUAAAUAUUUGCCAAAAUUUAUGAGGUCGUGUGAUGAUUGAAAAAUGGAUACUCUUUCGUCACCUCACAAAAACGAGAAACAAAAUCAUAUAUAAUGAGAAAGACACAACAACAUGAUGUGAAAAUGAAUGAAUGUUGAUGAACAUGAACAAGAGGUGGUGGGUGCAAAACACGGUGGUAGUAGUAGAUACAAGAGGACGAAAAAUCUUCAAUUUCAACCCAACACUGAAUUGGUCAACCCCCAAUUUUCUUUCCAGAUGCAAUUCUCUCAAGCUCACUGCUGGCACCUCUUGUCUAGGUGCUUCUUUUCCUUUUCUAUCUCGCUGAAUAUCUCAUUGCUUUGUGUGAAUUAUUUUCGAAUAUGGAUUAGAACUAAUUAUGUGGUUUCAUGGUCAGACAGAGAAAACUUUUGCUCAUGAUAGGUGGUGUUGCUGUAUGNNNNNNNNNNNNNNNNNNNNNNNNNNNNNNNNNNNNNNNNNNNNNNNNNNNNNNNNNNNNNNNNNNNNNNNNNNNNNNNNNNNNNNNNNNNNNNNNNNNNNNNNNNNNNNNNNNNNNNNNNNNNNNNNNNNNNNNNNNNNNNNNNNNNNNNNNNNNNNNNNNNNNNNNNNNNNNNNNNNNNNNNNNNNNNNNNNNNNNNNNNNNNNNNNNNNNNNNNNNNNNNNNNNNNNNNNNNNNNNNNNNNNNNNNNNNNNNNNNNNNNNNNNNNNNNNNNNNNNNNNNNNNNNNNNNNNNNNNNNNNNNNNNNNNNNNNNNNNNNNNNNNNNNNNNNNNNNNNNNNNNNNNNNNNNNNNNNNNNNNNNNNNNNNNNNNNNNNNNNNNNNNNNNNNNNNNNNNNNNNNNNNNNNNNNNNNNNNNNNNNNNNNNNNNNNNNNNNNNNNNNNNNNNNNNNNNNNNNNNNNNNNNNNNNNNNNNNNNNNNNNNNNNNNNNNNNNNNNNNNNNNNNNNNNNNNNNNNNNNNNNNNNNNNNNNNNNNNNNNNNNNNNNNNNNNNNNNNNNNNNNNNNNNNNNNNNNNNNNNNNNNNNNNNNNNNNNNNNNNNNNNNNNNNNNNNNNNNNNNNNNNNNNNNNNNNNNNNNNNNNNNNNNNNNNNNNNNNNNNNNNNNNNNNNNNNNNNNNNNNNNNNNNNNNNNNNNNNNNNNNNNNNNNNNNNNNNNNNNNNNNNNNNNNNNNNNNNNNNNNNNNNNNNNNNNNNNNNNNNNNNNNNNNNNNNNNNNNNNNNNNNNNNNNNNNNNNNNNNNNNNNNNNNNNNNNNNNNNNNNNNNNNNNNNNNNNNNNNNNNNNNNNNNNNNNNNNNNNNNNNNNNNNNNNNNNNNNNNNNNNNNNNNNNNNNNNNNNNNNNNNNNNNNNNNNNNNNNNNNNNNNNNNNNNNNNNNNNNNNNNNNNNNNNNNNNNNNNNNNNNNNNNNNNNNNNNNNNNNNNNNNNNNNNNNNNNNNNNNNNCUCCUCCAACGCUCGCAUCACAUCGUCUCGCUUCCUCGCAUCCUCUGCUCUCGCCUAUCCCUUAGUGGAACCAUCAGUCGCACGGUUGAUGCCUCGAGCCUUAUCGUCGUCCACAUCAAGCAGGUAUAUGGUCGCAUCUCGACUGAUCACACGCAUGCUUGUCAUCUAUGCGUUAAGCGCCCCAAACAACAAACAAGGAAACCAACAAAGGUCAACUUCUAACACACACAUAUCAUAGGUAGGGUAUGCUUCCCUACCAAUCACAAGUCCUGCCUCAAACUAACAUUCACACAUAAGGGAACUAUAUUUAGCUCUUAAGUUCACAAUUACGGGGAACUAACUCAUAGUUCUAAGUUAUUGUUAGUCAAUGCUCGUGCACAUGCAUGCAGACGUUUCGAAUAUCCAUUAAGUCAAUCCCUCUUGGAAAGGCAGGACUUACAUAACUCCACGAUCGGAGUUGGACACCUCCAACGCACCGCUGCCCAACAGCUUGAUGAUCGAGGUUGGACUUCUCCAACGCACCGUCGUUUCACAUUCGUCUUUUGUUCAGGUCCAUCCCCUGAACGUCACCACCGACUAGCCCAGUCCAGAUCACAAGCUGUGGUCAACGAAGCCCACUCCAGGUCACUUGGCCCACAUACGCAUGCCAUGCAAGUCAGUCGUCAUCACUAGGCCCUAAGCCUUUUACGUUCAUCUGAUAUGAACAAAAUAUCAUAACAUAGUAACUUGCAUGCAUAACAAUAAAUGUAGUUAACAUCUUGGGCACAUAAACAUGUUCAUAAUAACACUAGCUAACAUUUAGUACAUCAUCAUCAUAUAGCAUAUCUAGCACUAAUAUCAUCGAUAGUCCUAGUAUCAUGCUUUCUAACAAUCACAAUCACAAACAAUUUAUUUAAGCUGAGGCCGAAGUGCCCUUACCUCGAAGGUACGCUUUCCUAAAAGUCUCGGGUUGCUCCUUGAAGCUAGGUCUACACUCAAAAAGGUCCUACCAACGAACGGACAGAGUAAUGUUACGAAUUAGUCAAUCGUUAGCUAUAGUAUAUCCCUUCCCCAUAUUUUCGAAAAUAUCUCCUUAAAAUCUCGAAAAAACCAAAACUUCCUCUUUCGUAAGAUCAAAACCUCAUUUCUAAAAUCAUUUUUUUAAAGAUCAUAAGAACAUCAUACAAACAUCAAUAAAUUCUUUAAGAAAAAUCCACAUAUUCCCAAACAUCUCUAAGCAACUCGAUUAAAAUCAUUCUCUUCUGGAUUUGGCAGAUCAACUUAAGCUGCAACCAUAGAGCAUAUUGAGAAUGACCUUGCUCAAGGCUUAGAAACUAAACUAAGAACAAGAAAAAUAAAAAGAAGAUCAAGAGAGGGAGAGAGAGCUCACACACUAAGAGAGGAGAGGAGAGCUCUUGGAUGUGAAGAAAUGAGAGGGGGAAAGACUCUAUUUAUAGUGAGGUGUGAGAGCCAAACAUUAAAUGAUUUUCUUUCUCCCCAAGAAGAGGCUCAUAUCCACGAAAUUUUCAGCUCAUUCUAGGGUUUAUAGACUCUUCCAACCUUUCUUGAUUGAAUCCUCAAAAUUUGGCUUAUUUCCUAAUUAAAUCCCUUUUAAAACUAUCAUUUAAAUCCUUAGCUUUUUAAAUAUUUAAAGCUGAAUCCAAACGUUUGUAAAUCAGAUAUAAAGAAGAUCCUUAAAGGUUUCAAAAGUGUAAAUAUUCAUCAUCUAUUAAUUAAAAGUUAAAAGAAUCAAUCCCUUAAAUCACUCAUUUCAUAAAAACCUAGUUAAAUAAGGAAAUAAUUGGAAAAGAAGUCUCCUUAAUUCUCCUCCAAGGCUCUUGGCCGUCCAACCUCACAAUCUUCAGCAUAUUUUCUCCAAAAAUAUUUAAAAAUAAUAAUUUAAAUAAAACCAAAAAGAAUUAAUGCAUCAAUUACACAAUUUCCCUCCUUAGUGCAUCAAAUUUUGAAUUCAAAAACCUUAUCAAUGAUUUUGGCUCCAAAAUUUUGUGCAUCACUUCCAUAAUACCUCAAAAAUAUUUUCAGAAUUAAUUUUAUAAAUAAACCAUAGUUUAAAAAUAAUUAAAUACAUUUUAUUUAAAUAAAACCCUAAAAAAAUAAAAAUAAAAAGGAAUAUUCACUCAUGGAAUAUCCUUAGAACCAUGCCCAUAAUCUCCCCAUAAGGUGUGGCCCACAAAAUCGUCAUCUCCGACUCGAUUCGCCAACUCAUCACCGCUAUCGAGCCGAUUUUCACCUAAAAGCCGUUCGAAAGUAAUCCUAGCAAUAUUACAGUCAAAACGACGGUAAUGACGAGUACAUCGUCAUCUAGAUAUUAUUCAACUUCUCCACUAUAUCAUACACUUGUUACUUCUCACCUUCUACUCACUAACAGCUACCAUGGCUGAAUAACUUCGGCAUGUCUCAAACUUGACUCGUCCUAAGCACACCUUAAACCUUUACCUAAAAAUAUUAACCACGGUGAGGGAGUGACUACCAACAUGAGUGAUAGAUAGGGUUAUGCUUCAGGUCCCAUUCGGACUACCAACCUUUCAGUUAUUUCAUGAUCACUAACAAGCACAUACACAAAAUCAUCAACCAAUCAUCUUUUGUUGUUUUAGUAUGGGGGUUUGUUGACUCGAGAAUAUAAUGGUAUUUUCCUUGUGUUUUUAUUUUCCUCGUGUUUUUAUUUUAUUUUGUUCUGAUUGUUUCAUAAGGAGAAGGCAUUUUCUCUAAAUACAAAAUACCUUAUUAUAAAUAAAUAGAUAGAAUUUAUACUAGUAUUUGUUGCCAUAAUUUACUCAGAAACAAAAUGAUUUUAUUUUUUUAAAUAAACUAAAUGAUGAAUAUAAUUACUCUUGGAAAAAAGUAAACUACAUGGUUAACUAACCAGAUUUUUAAGACGUGGGAGAAGCCGAUUUUUACUUAAUUUAAUUGAUUGACGUGACAUAUUUUUAAGAUUUGGAUGUACAAAAAAUUAAUAUCAUCCCUACAUCAGUCUUAAUAGGGGUUGUCUAAAUAACCCAUGCUCAGUUUUGGGAUAUAUCACCCAUGACCUUGUUGUACCAGUUAUAUUGUGACACGUGGCACGUUAUUAUCCACAUCACUUUUAAUAUUUUAUUUUCGUAAUAUAUAUUUUAUUAUUUAAUUUAAUUCUAGAACAACCCCUACUAAUUUAGCUAAUAGCUUAGUACUCCUCCUUUUUUAAAAAAUUAAAAAAUAUACCCACAAUCCUCUUUCACGUUCUUCCUUUAGUUUCAAAAGAAAAAAAAAAACGUUCUUCCCUUUGCCGGCGGCAACCGCGACCUAGAUCGACGUGGUGUGGUGGUGGACGCUUCUCUAACCAGCAUGCCAAAGUCGUUUGCCUCUUCUUCUUACGUCCUUCUUGAACCGGUUUGUUUUUCUUCAAUUCAGUUGUUUACACAGUUUACAAUUUCAAUUUUUCUAUACUGUUUUUAUUUCAGUGGUUGAUUGUUUCCAUGGAAUUUUAAGACUUUAAUAUGAGUCUAGUUUCUUUUCUGCAAUUGUGGCGUUGCAUUUCUACAUUUGUACAAUCUGAUUUUUAUGAUGCCCUUAAGCUGUUCGAUAAAAUGCUUCAUUGAAGUGUCUUCGUUCAAUUACUUUGUAAAAAUAUUGGUGUCAAUCCAGGCUCUGAGUUUGGAGUGGCAUGUGAUGAAGCAAACUAAUAUGGUUGUUUUUUUUUUUGUUAAGCCAAAAUACUUCUUCUUCUUUUUUUGACUCUAGGUACUGUUCUGUUACUUUUUAUUUGUACUAUCUACUCACUUGUAAGAGUUUGUUUCUAAUAUCCUAGUUGCUAAUUUCUUGUUUUCCUUGGCUGGGUUUUGAGCAUAUUCAGCAGGUGGAAUCUCACAUGACCUCUCUUUUUAUGAUGCUAAGGAGCUGUUUUUCGAGCAGAGUUGUUUUUCGCCUCAUCUGGUUCCCUGUUUUGCUGUUUAUUUUUUCUGCAACCUUAGGAGCUGCUGCAGAACACGUUUUCUAUGUGACCGAAGAGCACACAUCAAGAAAUCACAAUGCCUUAGAACAUCCCUUGUAGCCACUUUAUCAGAUUUUCUGUGACACAGUAUAAUGAGUACAGAAACUAUUUUUCAAAGUUGAGGAUUUGAAAAAAUUGAGGAUUUUUCUGAAGCAAUAUUUGGUAAAUUUUAGGUAUCUGUUUGAAAUUCAUAAUGAGGAUUUGAGAAUGAGAAUCUAAGUGAAUCAAUUGAAAUCUGUAACGCA
This 26675-nucleotide long non-coding RNA is filed under the name Lotus japonicus. RNAcentral describes it as "long non-coding RNA (LJAP_LNC001510)". The record is from RNAcentral. Lineage: Eukaryota; Viridiplantae; Streptophyta; Magnoliopsida; Fabales; Fabaceae.